GUUCCGGUUGAUUGGUCUUCCUUUUGGCAUGCACUUUUCGGCUGGUUCUUACCUUCUGGUGAGUCAGCAUGCUCUUUACUGGGUGUGCUGAGGAACCAGGACUUUUACUUUGAAAAAAUUAGAGUGUUUAAAGCAGGCAUUCGCUUGAAUACAUUAGCAUGGAAUAAUGGAACAGGACCUUGGUUCUAUUUCGUUGGUUUCUAGGACCGAAGUA
This 214-nucleotide ribosomal RNA is filed under the name uncultured fungus. RNAcentral describes it as "partial small subunit ribosomal RNA". It matches the Rfam family "Eukaryotic small subunit ribosomal RNA", at positions 655 to 864 of the family's 1831-position model. The record is from RNAcentral. Lineage: Eukaryota; Fungi.